Molecule: transfer RNA, 403 nt
Filed under: Pseudomonas fluorescens
Lineage: Bacteria; Pseudomonadati; Pseudomonadota; Gammaproteobacteria; Pseudomonadales; Pseudomonadaceae
Description: partial contains 16S-23S ribosomal RNA intergenic spacer and 23S ribosomal RNA
Source: RNAcentral
CUGACCAUAUAUAACCCCAAGCAAUCUGGUUAUACUGUGAAGACGACAUUCGCCGAAAAUUCGCGCUUGAACUCGCAAAUUUUACCUUGACUUGAAUGAUCACCAGUGAAAGAGAUCAUUCAGUCUUACUUCUAUCACAUACCCGAAUUUUUAAAGAACAGUUCUGGUGCAAAGACCAGAAAUCAAUGUUCAUUCACGAACAUUCAUUUCUGAGCUUUCGACGAUUGUUUUAGAUGGUGGAGCCAAGGAGGAUCGAACUCCUGACCUCCUGCGUGCAAAGCAGGCGCUCUCCCAGUUGAGCUAUGGCCCCGUAUCGGAUCACGCAGCACACCAACAAUUGGUGGGUCUGGGCAGAUUCGAACUGCCGGCCUCGCCUGUUUUUUAGGGGUGCUGCGUCCCCUUC